Molecule: transfer RNA, 71 nt
Filed under: Stegodyphus mimosarum
Lineage: Eukaryota; Metazoa; Arthropoda; Arachnida; Araneae; Eresidae
Rfam family: tRNA
About the family: Transfer RNA (tRNA) molecules are approximately 80 nucleotides in length. Their secondary structure includes four short double-helical elements and three loops (D, anti-codon, and T loops).
Source: Rfam by way of RNAcentral
GCCUUCGUAGUGUAACGGUAGCACACUCGGCGCGUAUUCGAUAGUUUCAGGUUCGAUUCCCGGCGAGCGCA